AUUGAACGCUGGCGGCAUGCCUUACACAUGCAAGUCGAACGGCAGCACGGGGCAACCUGGUGGCGAGUGGCGAACGGGUGAGUAAUGCAUCGGAACGUGCCAUUGAGUGGGGGAUAACGUAGCGAAAGUUGCGCUAAUACCGCAUAUUCUGUGAGCAGGAAAGCAGGGGACCGCAAGGCCUUGCGCUCUUUGAGCGGCCGAUGUCAGAUUAGCUAGUUGGUGAGGUAACGGCUUACCAAGGCGACGAUCUGUAGCGGGUCUGAGAGGAUGAUCGCCACACUGGAACUGAGACACGGUCCAGACUCCUACGGAGGCAGCAGUGGGAAUUUGGACAAUGGCGCAAGCCUGAUCCAGCCAUGCCGCGUGAGUGAAG
This 373-nucleotide ribosomal RNA is filed under the name uncultured bacterium. Its description in RNAcentral is "bacterial SSU rRNA". It matches the Rfam family "Bacterial small subunit ribosomal RNA", at positions 30 to 410 of the family's 1533-position model. The record is from RNAcentral.